GAUGAACGCUGGCGGCGUGCCUAAUACAUGCAAGUCGAGCGAACAGACGAGGAGCUUGCUCCUCUGACGUUUGCGGCGGACGGGUGAGUAACACGUGGAUAACCUACCUAUAAGACUGGGAUAACUUCGGGAAACCGGAGCUAAUACCGGAUAAUAUAUUGAACCGCAUGGUUCAAUAGUGAAAGACGGUUUUGCUGUCACUUAUAGAUGGUUCCGCGCCGCAUUAUCUAGUUGGUAAGGUAACGGCUUACCAAGGCGACGAUGCGUAGCCGACCGGAGAGGGUGAUCGGCCAAACGGGAACUGAGACACGGUCCAGACACCUACGGGAGGCAGCAGAAGGGAAUCUUCCGCAAUGGGCGAAAGCAUGACGGAGCAACGCCGCGUGAGAGAUGAAGGUCUUCGGAUCGUAAAACUCUGUUAUUAGGGAAGAACAAAUGUGUAAGUAACUAUGCACGUCUUGACGGUACCUAAUCAGAAAGCCACGGCUAACUACGUG
This 497-nucleotide ribosomal RNA is filed under the name uncultured bacterium. RNAcentral describes it as "partial 16S ribosomal RNA". It matches the Rfam family "Bacterial small subunit ribosomal RNA", at positions 28 to 507 of the family's 1533-position model. The record is from RNAcentral.